UAGGGGAGACUGGAAUUCCUGGUGUAGCGGUGAAAUGCGCAGAUAUCAGGAGGAACACCGGUGGCGAAGGCGGGUCUCUGGGCCGAUACUGACGCUGAGGAGCGAAAGCGUGGGGAGCGAACAGGAUUAGAUACCCUGGUAGUCCACGCCGUAAACGUUGGGCGCUAGGUGUGGGGAACCUUCCACGUUCUCCGUGCCGCAGCUAACGCAUUAAGCGCCCCGCCUGGGGAGUACGGCCGCAAGGCUAAAACUCAAAGGAAUUGACGGGGGCCCGCACAAGCGGCGGAGCAUGUGGCUUAAUUCGACGCAACGCGAAGAACCUUACCAAGGCUUGACAUAUACCGAAAACUCAUAGAGAUAUGGGGUCCGCAAGGGCGGUAUACAGGUGGUGCAUGGUUGUCGUCAGCUCGUGUCGUGAGAUGUUGGGUUAAGUCCCGCAACGAGCGCAACCCUCGUUCUAUGUUGCCAGCGCGUAAAGGCGGGGACUCAUAGGAGACUGCCGGGGUCAACUCGGAGGAAGGUGGGGAUGACGUCAAAUCAUCAUGCCCCUUAUGUCUUGGGCUGCACACAUGCUACAAUGGCCGGUACAAAGGGCUGCAAUACCGCAAGGUGGAGCUAAUCCCAAAAAGCCGGUCUCAGUUCGGAUUGGGGUCUGCAACUCGACCCCAUGAAGUCGGAGUCGCUAGUAAUCGCAGAUCAGCAACGCUGCGGUGAAUACGUUCCCGGGCCUUGUACACACCGCCCGUCACGUCACGAAAGUUGGUAACACCCGAAGCCAGUGGCCCAACUCGCAAGAGAGGGAGCUGUCGAAGGUGGGAUCAGCGAUUGGGACGAAGUCGUAACAAGGUACCAAUCCCGCGG
This 861-nucleotide ribosomal RNA is filed under the name uncultured Actinomycetes bacterium. RNAcentral describes it as "bacterial SSU rRNA". It matches the Rfam family "Bacterial small subunit ribosomal RNA", at positions 652 to 1510 of the family's 1533-position model. Lineage: Bacteria; Bacillati; Actinomycetota; Actinomycetes. The record is from RNAcentral.